This 817-nucleotide long non-coding RNA is filed under the name Notechis scutatus (mainland tiger snake). RNAcentral's name for it is "lncRNA (ENSNSUG00000013725.1)". The record is from RNAcentral. Lineage: Eukaryota; Metazoa; Chordata; Lepidosauria; Squamata; Elapidae.
GAGAAAGGAAGAAAGAAAAAGGAGAGAAAAACAGAAAUGAGAGGGAGGGAGGGGGACAGGGAGAGAAAGAGAAAGAGAGCCAUUUCCCACAGAAAACACCAGGAGCAACAAAACCCUCGGUAGACAUGGCUGGGGAGGUCAUGUGACUGGGUGGAAGUAGUGUUGAGUUGGCCAUGCCCACCCAACCAUGCUCACCCAGGCAGUUAUUAGGGCAGAGAGCCCCUUGCUAAAAAAAUUGAAGCCCACUCCUGCCUAAAAUUCAUAGAAGAGGGGACCCAGACAAGGAAGUUAGCAGGUUCUUCAAGCACUUUUAAUCCAGUUGAUAUUGCUGAUUCACUGAAAUCCUUAGGAGAUAAGUACAACGCAGAAAUUGAAAGCCACGUACAGGCAGUUAUUGCAGAGGAAAGCGUAAGAAAGAUAGAGAAAUUUGGAGAAGUAGCAGAAUCUCUCAGCAGGAUUUGGAUCAGUCAAAAUCCUGGGCUAGAGCCUGAAAAAGUUUUUCUAGCUGCUGCUGUGAAAUUGUUUGUGAAAUUUAUGAAGAAAACUCAUGGAGAUGAGGGCCAGAUAAACAUACUCACAGAAACAAUCAAUGGAAAUCCUGAAGUGAGAGGCUAUAUUGAAAGACAGGGUGGUUGGGGUAAUCUUGGAAGAAGUCUAAACAGCCCAUAGUUUCUUGCUUCCAAUGUAAAAGACUCAUCUGCUAUUUUGGAGGAAAUAGAGCUGGAGAGUUGCUUCAAAUCUGAAAUGGAACUGCAAAUGAAUUGAAAAGGCAAUUCUGUGAAGAAACAAAAUAAAUUUAAUAAAUUUAAAAAGAAAC